AGUUCUUCUGUAAACAAACUCUGAUGUACAUAUCUCUAACCUUACACAGUAAUGAAGAGACUUCAACCUCAAUAUUACUCUUUAUGGUAUCAGAGCCUAACUCUCUAACGAGAAUCAGUUUUUUUUAAUCUUCUUCUUUUCUUUUGCUUCUACAAUAGACUUUCAUCAUGUCAGAAUCAUCUAGCACACCAUCUAUUGUGCACUCCUUUACACCUGGUGCUGCCAACGUUGUUCCUCCAUUACAUCAAAUUAUCACCUUUAAUCCAGCCUCACAACUGCCAAUCAAACUUUCCAACAAUGCAAAUUUCUCCACAUGGAAGGCACAAGUUCUAACUCUCAUGUGUGGAUAUGACCUGUUUCACUUUCUUGAUGGUUCUAUUUCACCACCGUCUCAAAUUGAUGCUGAUUUGACGGUCUGGUUCGACAAGACAAUCUUAUCUGUAAUGCCUUAAUAGCAUCUGUAGAACCCACAAUAGCACCGACUGUUGCUUCAUCCUUGACCUCGAACCAGGCUUGGGAUCAUCUACAUACCACAUAUGCUAACAAAUCUCAGACUCGUAUCUUUACUCUUCGAGACAUUUUGUCCAAAAUCACUAAAGACAGCAAAUCCAUCACUGAUUACUUGAGAGAGAUACGCUCAAUUUCAGAUGAGUUAGCUGCAACUAGUUCUCCGAUUGAUGCAUCUGAGCUUACUGUCAAAGUACUCAGUGGAUUGGGGCCAGACUAUAAAGAUAUAAGUGAUGUGAUUUGUGCUAAAGACACUCUUAUCAGUUUUGAAGAGAUGCAAGACAAGCUUGCUGAUCAUGAACUUUUCCUCAAACAUGAGGAAGCAAAAAAACCAGCAGCUCCUAUUACGGUUCAGAUUGGACAAUCACCUCGUGGGAAUAAUUCUAGCUCAAAUGCAUCCGAAUCACGUUCCAACCUUCGUGGGAAUAAUUCAUCAGGCUCAAGAACCUCUACUAGACAGUUCCGUCCUCAAUAUUAUGGCAAUUUCAGACCAUUCAUCAAUAAUAAUCAGCGAGUUUUCCAAGUACCACAACAACAAUCGCAAGGUUGGAGGCCUUCUAAUCGGUCCAGAACUUAGUGUCAGUUAUGUGGGGAUUACGGACAUAUAGCAUCUAACUGCCGUUCCCACUCUCAUAAUCAUUUUGAAGCCAAAGCCAUAUUUGCUGCCAAUAACAGUCAUGAUUAUAAUCCAUGGGUGGUGAACAGUGGAGCUAAUCAACAUGUCAGGGAUAAUCCCAUGAAUCUUGCGCGUCUGCAUGAAUAUACAGACUUAGAAUGUAUCACUAUGGGCAAUGGUAAUUGUAUUCCUAUCACCCAUACAGGUUCUAUUUCUCUUCCUACACCCAACCGCAAUUUUUCUUUAUCUGAUGUUCUUUGUGCUCCUAACAUUCAAAAGAAAUUAAUUUCUGUUUCAAAGUUUACUAAGCAAAUAAAUACCUCCAUUGAAUUCCUUCCCCAUUAUUUUCUUGUGAGGGAUUUGAGCACGGGGGCACCUCUGGUUCGCGGGAUGAAUAACGAUGAUCCCGUUCUCACAAUCAUUUUGAAGCCAAAGCCAUAUUUGCUGCCAAUAACAGUCAUGAUUAUAAUCCAUGGGUGGUGGACAGUGGAGCUAAUCAACAUGUCAGGGAAAAUCCCAUGAAUCUUGCCUGUCUGCAUGAAUAUACAGACUCAGAAUGUAUCACUAUGGGUAAUGGUAACUGUAUUCCUAUCACCUAUACAGGUUCUGUUUCUCUUUCUACACCCAACUGCAAUUUUUCUUUAUGUAAUGUUCUUUGUGCUCCUAACAUUCAAAAGAAAUUAAUUUCUAUUUCAAAGUUUACUAAGCAAAUAAAUACCUCCAUUGAAUUCCUUCCCCAUUAUUUUCUUGUGAGGGAUUUGACCACGGAGGCACCUCUGGUUCGCGGGAUGAAAAAAGAUGAUCUGUAUGUGUGGCCAUUUCAACAUUUCAAGCCUGUCCAAUUUUCUACCAAUUUCGCUGUGUCACUACCAAGUCCUGAGGUCUGGCAUCAUCGUCUAGGUCACCCCAAUGUCCGUAAUCUUAAGUCAGUGAUACAUUCUUAUUCAUUUGCAUUGUGUUAAGUUCAAUAUGUUCUCUUCAUGUAAUUCGUGUCUCUGUAAUAAGAGUACCAGACUUCCAUUUUCGCAUAAUACGUUAAAAAGCACAAAGCCAUUAAAUCUUAUUUAUACGAAUUUUUGGGGCCCCUUUUCAAUAGAAUCAAUUGAUAAAAAGAGGUUUUAUGUCAUUUUUGUUGAUCAUUAUUCGAAAUACACGUGGAUUUUUCCUAUUACCAAAAAAAGUGAUGUUGCAUCCAUAUUUUCCACCUUUAAAUCAACUGUUGAAAAUUUCUUUGAGGUCAAAAUAAAAACUGUUUAUUCUGAUGGAGGAGGUGAAUACUUAGGUCUUAAAAGUUUUCUUUCUUCCACUGGAAUUCAACACAUGGUGUCACCACCAUACACACCUCAACGUGUAGCUCAGGCUGAAAGAAAACAUCGUCACAUAGUUGAAACUACCCGAACCUUAUUACAUCAAGCAUCUCUUUCGUAAAAAUUUUGGUCCUUUGCGUGUGCAACAGCUGUGUUUCUAACAAAUCGUCUACCUUCGACAACCCUUGCUUCUCAUUCACCAUAUCAAAUUCUUUUUAAUUGUGAUCCUUCUUUCUCUAAAAUACGUACAUUUGGGACUAUGUGCUACCCUUGGCUCAAACCAUGCACCAAUCAUAAACUUGAACUGAGAUCGCGUCUAUUUGUCUAUCUAGGUUUUUCAUCCCAAUAUCAUUACCAUCAAUGUUUUGAUCCUUUAGCAUGAAAAUUAUUUCUUACUCGGGAUGUGAUUUUUUUGGAGCACAUUUUUCCUUAUCAGACCAUAUUCAAAGAUAUUGAGUCCACCAUAGAUGCUACUACUUGGUACUCUCAAAAUCAUGUUAAUAAUGAGUAGAAUUCUAGUUUGCAAUCUGACCUCACGUUGAAUGAGUAUAUACCCGUGCCACUUUUUGUUAACAAGUCAGCAGCUCCUUGUUAAGUGGCCACACCUACAUCUUCAUCUGCUUUAACCGUUGUACACGAUGGGUCUUCAGAAUCCUCUCCAUCUCUAGUUGUUCCACAUCGAAAUGUUCCUACCACUGUUACACAGGCCCAGCGUGAUGCUCAUUGGCAACAAGCCAUGAGGGAUGAAUUUGAUGCUUUGCUUUGAAAUCAAACUUGGGAAUUGGUUCCAAAACAACAAAAUCAAAAUGUUGUUGGGUGCAAGUGGCUGUUUCGGAUUAAGUAUAAAGCAAAUGAUGAGCUUGACAAAUACAAGGCACAGCUUGUUGCUAAGGGAUUCGCUCAGCGGCCAGAAGUAUAAUAUGCAUGAGAGCAAGGGUGUACAUUCUCCUAUGUCCAACUCAGUUACUUUUCGGUUAGAUGAUGGCUCGGCUGCUACGGAUGUUGAAAAAUAUCAUGAGGUUUUAGGAAAACUACAAUAUCUAUCAUUUACUCGACCAGAUAUUAGUUUUGCGGUUAAUAAAUUGUCUCAAUUUAUGCACUCACCGACAGUUAUAAAUUAGCAAGCGGUAAAGAGAGUGCUCAGGUACUUAAAUCAUACAAUGCAUUAUGGGUUACUACUGAGACAUUCUUCUCCUAUGACUCUACAAGUAUAUAUCGAUGCAGAUUGGGCUAGUGAUCCACAUGAUCGUUCCUCAACAUCUGGUUAUAUCACAUAUCUAGGAACCUCUCCGAUUAACUGGUCAUCAAAAAAACAAAGAACAGUUACCAGGUCUUCAACCGAAGCUGAAUACAGGGCUGUUGUUGGUGCAGUUGCAGAAGCAAAUUGGAUAAUGAAUUUGCUAAAGGAACUUCAUAUAAGAUUGGCACAAGUACCGACUAUUUAUUAUGAUAAUGUUGCUGUCACUUAUCUUUGUAAAAAUCCGGUAUUUCAUAGUUAGAUGAAGCAUAUUGCUGUGGA
Non-coding RNA from Jatropha curcas, 3949 nucleotides. NCBI's taxonomy places the organism in Eukaryota, Viridiplantae, Streptophyta, Magnoliopsida, Malpighiales, Euphorbiaceae. The record is from RefSeq and is a predicted model, not a curated record.